AGUGAACGCUGGCGGUAGGCCUAACACAUGCAAGUCGAACGGCAGCACAGUAAGAGCUUGCUCUUACGGGUGGCGAGUGGCGGACGGGUGAGGAAUACAUCGGAAUCUACUUUUUCGUGGGGGAUAACGUAGGGAAACUUACGCUAAUACCGCAUACGACCUACGGGUGAAAGCAGGGGAUCUUCGGACCUUGCGCGAUUGAAUGAGCCGAUGUCGGAUUAGCUAGUUGGCGGGGUAAAGGCCCACCAAGGCGACGAUCCGUAGCUGGUCUGAGAGGAUGAUCAGCCACACUGGAACUGAGACACGGUCCAGACUCCUACGGGAGGCAGCAGUGGGGAAUAUUGGACAAUGGGCGCAAGCCUGAUCCAGCCAUACCGCGUGGGUGAAGAAGGCCUUCGGGUUGUAAAGCCCUUUUGUUGGGAAAGAAAAGCAGCAGGUUAAGACCCCGCUGUUCGGACGGGACCCAAAGAAUAAGCACCGGCUAACUUCGU
RNAcentral lists this ribosomal RNA (491 nucleotides) under uncultured bacterium. Its description in RNAcentral is "partial 16S ribosomal RNA". It matches the Rfam family "Bacterial small subunit ribosomal RNA", at positions 29 to 506 of the family's 1533-position model. The record is from RNAcentral.